This is a small nuclear RNA of Callithrix jacchus (white-tufted-ear marmoset), 107 nucleotides long. Lineage: Eukaryota; Metazoa; Chordata; Mammalia; Primates; Cebidae. The record is from Ensembl.
UUUGUCUGUUUACAAACUUUAUAUAAAUGGAAUCAAGUAUACAGAGAAGAGUAGCAUGGUCCCUGUGCAAGGAUGACAUGCAAAUUUAUGAAACAUUCAUAAAAAAA